Oncorhynchus tshawytscha (Chinook salmon) is the source of this 2416-nucleotide long non-coding RNA. RefSeq lists it as uncharacterized. Lineage: Eukaryota; Metazoa; Chordata; Actinopteri; Salmoniformes; Salmonidae. The transcript is spliced from 2 exons. The record is from RefSeq and is a predicted model, not a curated record.
GUGUGUGUGUGUGUGUGUGUGUGUGUGUGUGUGUGUGUGUGUGUGUGUGUGUGUGUGUGACAAAGAAAUAGUAAUAAAUUAUGCUGGUUACUACCCCUGAUAACUUGCCCAAAUAAUCAUGCUUGAAAGAGUGUGAGUGUGUAUGUCAGAUAAAUAGAAAUGGUAGAUACUACUGUACCCCUAAUAAUUUGGUCAGAUAACCGUGUGUGUAUAGUAGGUGACAUGUCAAUGAUAGUUAUCUAAUAAUUAUAGUUAUGCUAGGUGAUGGUUUGGCUUAUCAUGUUCAUGUCUAUAUAGAAGUGGAGAGGACUCAGGGACAGGUAUCAGAGAGAGAAGGGCAGAGAAAGAGAAGAGGUCUGGAUCAGCAGCUUCAGGUCAGCAGCCUUGGCACUUCUGCCACAUUCUUUCUUUUCUGGAUCCAUUUAUUGUGCCUAGGGCAACAAGUGGCAAUUUUACAGCCAGACCCUCUACAUCAUCCACAAGUGUGGGCGCCACGGGUGCAUCAAGACUCUCUACGUCAUUAACAAGUGAGACCAGUCUCCACUGGUGCAGUGAGACCCUCUACAUCAUCCACAAGUGUGGGCGCCACGGGUGCAUCAAGACUCUCUACGUCAUUAACAAGUGAGACCAGUCUCCACCGGUGCAGUGAGACCCUCUACAUCAUCCACAAGUGUGGGCGCCACGGGUGCAUCAAGACUCUCUACGUCAUUAACAAGUGAGACCAGUCUCCACCGGUGCAGUGAGACCCUCUACAUCAUCCACAAGUGUGGGCGCCACGGGUGCAUCAAGACUCUCUACGUCAUUAACAAGUGAGACCAGUCUCCACCGGUGCAGUGAGACCCUCUACAUCAUCCACAAGUGUGGGCGCCACGGGUGCAUCAAGACUCUCUACGUCAUUAACAAGUGAGACCAGUCUCCACCGGUGCAGUGAGACCCUCUACAUCAUCCACAAGUGUGGGCGCCACGGGUGCAUCAAGACUCUCUACGUCAUUAACAAGUGAGACCAGUCUCCACCGGUGCAGUGAGACCCUCUACAUCAUCCACAAGUGUGGGCGCCACGGGUGCAUCAAGACUCUCUACGUCAUUAACAAGUGAGACCAGUCUCCACCGGUGCAGUGAGACCCUCUACAUCAUCCACAAGUGUGGGCGCCACGGGUGCAUCAAGACUCUCUACGUCAUUAACAAGUGAGACCAGUCUCCACCGGUGCAGUGAGACCCUCUACAUCAUCCACAAGUGUGGGCGCCACGGGUGCAUCAAGACUCUCUACGUCAUUAACAAGUGAGACCAGUCUCCACCGGUGCAGUGAGACCCUCUACAUCAUCCACAAAUAUGACCACCACCGGUGCAGCCAUGGAAGAUGAUGAAAUGGAGGAAGCACCUCUGGAUCUAUGACCACCUGAGAUUAUUAAGACCCUCACGGGAAGUGACCACUGAGGACCUUGUUGAACAGGAUGUGGCCGUGGAGAGAAACCAAGAGGACCAACGUCACACCAGGCGCCAUCGGCGGUACCAGCCCCCAGAUCCACUCAACUCAUUUUAGCAGAGGCUCCUCCAAGCCAUCGAGAAGGAUGCAGCCCAACCUGAUGCUCACAGGAAGGAGGAUGAAGAAACCUUCUUUGCCAUGAGCCUGGUUUUAACCCUGAAGAGGCUGCCUCAGCGAAGAAAAGCAGCAUUCAAGGUUAAAAUUCAUCAGCUGCUUUUCUAUGCUGAGUUCAAUGAGAUGGAGUCAAUUUAGCAGACCAGCUCAUAGGAAGGACAAGAAGAGGAGAUUGUCUGGUUGUUGUUUUGACCUUCUCCUCCAUGGGUUUUGAGCGGGAGGUAAGGAAAGGACGUGAGGAAUCAAGGAACUGCAACUGAGAUUUUCCCACUGUCCUCAACUGAGAUUUUGUAACUGUUCUUAUUGCGAUUACUAUGUCCUUGUUAGUAGUUUCUCAAUACUUAGGAUAGCAUUCAUUAUUAGUUGUACAUAGAUUGCAUGAAAAUUGACUGAAUUGAAACUGACACACCAGAGAAUUCAGAUGUUCUUGUUGUUCUUUUACAAGACUAAAGGUGAAAUAUGUGUUUACCUGUAUUGUGGCUCCAAAUUCACUUUUAGUUUUCAGACACACACCUCCUCCACUCCUCUAUGUACCUCAGAUCUCCAAUGCCCUGCCCUCUCUCUUUAUGGCCAUGUCUGAAGUUCCCCUACUAUGUCUAGGCUUUAUGAGUAGUCCCUGUAUCUGUCUGCAGUUAUGCCAAAAAUACAUGCUCUUGUUGUUCUCUUACAGAUUACACAUUCAUUUUUAUAUUUUUACAGGCACAUACAGUACACACACACCUCUCAAUAGUUUUUAUUUUUUGUAAUGUUUUUACAACAUAUACCUGUCAUGUUCUUUCCUGUACUUGAAUACUUAUUAAAUUAUGUUUUCAUCGUCA